UUUUUCAAGAACACCAUACGGAUUUUUCCCUACUCCAGGUGUAGAUAGGCAAGGUGAGGACCAUCCACUGUAGCCUGCCUUCAGAUAUCAGCUUUUGGUUGGUGAGCUCCACAUCUUCCUGGAGUAUUGUCGAGUCACGUUCUAUAUAUGUUACUUUAUUUUAUGAGGAUGUCAGGGAAGCUGUCCCAACUUAUAUGUUAUGGUCAUGUUUUCUUAGAGGUUUUGCAGACAGUGUCCUGUGUAUAGCUUUAGGUAUGACAUGUCAACGGCCUUGUCGGCCCCUAUGUAUCUAUUUAAAUCUUUUUGAAUUAUUUAUGUGAGUUAAUUU
Nicotiana attenuata is the source of this 328-nucleotide long non-coding RNA. RefSeq lists it as uncharacterized. The transcript is spliced from 2 exons. NCBI's taxonomy places the organism in Eukaryota, Viridiplantae, Streptophyta, Magnoliopsida, Solanales, Solanaceae. The record is from RefSeq and is a predicted model, not a curated record.